Molecule: transfer RNA, 74 nt
Filed under: archaeon BMS3Bbin15
Lineage: Archaea
Also listed under: 2 other names
Description: tRNA-Pro
Rfam family: tRNA
About the family: Transfer RNA (tRNA) molecules are approximately 80 nucleotides in length.
Source: RNAcentral
GGGGCUGUAGGGUAGCUUGGUUAUCCUCGUGGCUUUGGGAGCCAUGGACUCCGGUUCGAAUCCGGGCAGCCCCA